GCGAUCUCCCCCUAUAAAAAGAAGAGCCAAAUUCAAGCACCCCGUAACUACCAUAUUAACCGGCAAUACAUAGCGAUUGGGGGUUGGUCGCGGGCAUCGCCCUUGCUGACGCGCACUUAAUUUGGGCAUGAGUGGAGUGGUCGUGUUGCUUCACCUCCUCUCUCCUGGGUUUCAAGGUGACAUGCAUUUAAUAUGGGCACAGAAGUAUGGAUGUGCCCUAAAAGUUGCGCACAUGACCCGCAGUCAAGGUGGCGCCUCACAUUCUCGAUCAGUGCAUGCGGGAUUACUCCCUUCACCCGACACCCAAAGAUAGAGGAGCAUAUGUUGGGAAGGGAUAUUGCACCUGGAUUGAAGCAUGUCCAUGUCAAUGUCACAUCCCGAUGAAGGCCACAAUACUGAUCUCUGCCUCAGCCACUGACCUCGAUUUCCUACCAACCC
Molecule: long non-coding RNA, 438 nt
Filed under: Elaeis guineensis (African oil palm)
Lineage: Eukaryota; Viridiplantae; Streptophyta; Magnoliopsida; Arecales; Arecaceae
Description: long non-coding RNA (EGUI_LNC004441)
Source: RNAcentral